RNAcentral lists this ribosomal RNA (253 nucleotides) under uncultured bacterium. Its description in RNAcentral is "partial 16S ribosomal RNA". It matches the Rfam family "Bacterial small subunit ribosomal RNA", at positions 524 to 776 of the family's 1533-position model. The record is from RNAcentral.
UACGUAGGGUGCAAGCGUUGCCCGGAUUUAUUGGGCGUAAAGGGCGCGUAGGCGGCUCGGCACGUCCGUUGUGAAAUCGCCCGGCUCAACUGGGCGGGGUCAGCGGAUACGGCCGAGCUUGAGCAAGCUAGGGGGCAAUGGAAUUCCCGGUGUAGUGGUGGAAUGCGCAGAUAUCGGGAGGAACACCCGUGGCGAAGGCGGGACUCUGGGCCGAUACUGACGCUGAGGAGCGAAAGCGUGGGGAGCGAACAGG